GGGACUAUAGUUAACAAUAACAUUUGAGUUGCAUUCAAAAAGUGCUGCAUCACAGCUAGCCUCA
RNAcentral lists this transfer RNA (64 nucleotides) under Heterotermes crinitus. Its description in RNAcentral is "tRNA-Ala". Lineage: Eukaryota; Metazoa; Arthropoda; Insecta; Blattodea; Rhinotermitidae. The record is from RNAcentral.